Molecule: transfer RNA, 72 nt
Filed under: Bos taurus (domestic cattle)
Lineage: Eukaryota; Metazoa; Chordata; Mammalia; Artiodactyla; Bovidae
Also listed under: 3 other names
Rfam family: tRNA
About the family: Transfer RNA (tRNA) molecules are approximately 80 nucleotides in length. Their secondary structure includes four short double-helical elements and three loops (D, anti-codon, and T loops).
Source: Rfam by way of RNAcentral
UCCCUGGUGGCUCAGACGGUAAAGCAUCUGCCUGCAAUGCGGGAGACCUGGGUUCAAUCCCUGGGUCGGGAA